Molecule: long non-coding RNA, 1329 nt
Filed under: Homo sapiens (human)
Lineage: Eukaryota; Metazoa; Chordata; Mammalia; Primates; Hominidae
Description: non-protein coding lnc-PRDM9-11:1
Source: RNAcentral
ACCUGGGGGCUACACCUAUGAAGAAUGUACAAAAGCACCACAACAAAUGAUCUAGUCUUCUGCAAAAUAAGAACAGCAUGUAAACAGUUUGGUAGAGUGAACCGAAUCAAACAAAAGGAAAAUACUGUUUGUUUGUUUUUUUGCCACAUCCUUGUUUUAGAUUACCCUCCUCUAUGCUUCUAUAAGAAUAUCUGUUUUUCUUAUUGUAAAAUUUAUUUUCCUUUAUUGCAAGCAUCUGUUUAUUUCUUGAGACAAAUAUAUACAGAUCCUAAUUUCUGGACCCUGUGCAUGUUACUUUACAUGGUGCUAUGAUUUAAAUGUUUGUCCCCUCCAAAAUUAAUGUUGAAAUUUAUUUGCCACUUCAAUGGUAUUAAGAGGUAAGACAUUUAAGAAGUGAUUAGGACAUAAAGGCCCUGCCUUCAUAGCUGGGAUCAAAACAUCAUAAAAGAGCGAGUUGGGUUCCUUCUUGCUCUCUCACCCUUUGCCUUGUGCCAUGUGAUGAUACAGAAAGAAAAUCAUCAUUAGAAACCAGAACUUGAUAUUUCCAGACUCCAGAACAGUGAGCCAAUAAAUUUUUGCACAUUAUGAUUUACCCAGUCUGUGGUGUACUGUUACAGCAGCUCAAACGUACUGAGAUAUAUGGCAAAGAAGACUUUGCUGAUGUCAUUAAAUCAACACUCUUGCAAUGGAGAGAUAAUCUUGAAUUACAUACAUAGCCUUGAUAUAAUCAUAAUAACCGUUGCAGGUAGAACAGAGGACUGAGAGUCAGCAGAGAGGGUGAUAGGAAACAGAGACUGGAAUAAUACAUUUUAAAGAUGGAAGAAGGAGCCACAAGCCAAGAAAUACAGGUAGCUACUGUUACCUGAAAAAGGCGAGGAAAUGGAUUCUCCUCUCAGAGCCUCCAGGAAGAGCCAGUCCAUCUGACAUUUUACUUUAACCCAGUAAAACUAAUUUUGGACUUCUGACUUCCAUAACUUAAGAUAAUAAAUUCAUGUUAUUUUAAGCCACUUAGUGUGUGGUAACUUUUCACAACAGCAAUUGGAAAUUAACAUCCCUCUUUAACUUUCCACGUCCUUCACUAUACUAUAAGCUUUGUGCAAAGUAGAAUAAAGGUAAUUUCUAUCUCAUUCAUUUUUUAAGUUUUAAAUCACAAUAUCUGCAGAGAAUGGCAAAAUGCUUGGUACAUGGUAUGUAUUCAAUACUCAAUGCAUCUUUCAUUAAUUAAAUGACCACCUUUCUUAAGAAUAAAGAGACAGUUAAAAUUCAGAACAUUGAAUUCAACAAUGAGCUUCUUUUAGACAUAACUCAGCUAAAAGAUAUUAGGUGUAU